GCAGCCGCGGUAAUACGUAGGUGGCAAGCGUUAUCCGGAAUUACUGGGUGUAAAGGGUGAGUAGGCGGGAAGGCAAGUCAGGUGUGAAAUGCAGGGGCUCAACCCCUGAGCUGCACUUGAAACUGCUUUUCUUGAGAGUCGGAGGGGUAAUCGGAAUUCCCAGUGUAGCGGUGAAAUGCGCAGAGAUUGGGAGGAACACCAGUGGCGAAGGCGGAUUACUGGACGACAACUGACGCUGAGACACGAAAGCGUGGGGAGCAAACAGGAUUAGAUACCCC
RNAcentral lists this ribosomal RNA (278 nucleotides) under uncultured Oscillospiraceae bacterium. RNAcentral describes it as "partial 16S ribosomal RNA". It matches the Rfam family "Bacterial small subunit ribosomal RNA", at positions 511 to 788 of the family's 1533-position model. The record is from RNAcentral. Lineage: Bacteria; Bacillati; Bacillota; Clostridia; Eubacteriales; Oscillospiraceae.